GUUAGACAAGAUGAGCAGAUGGCCAUGCAUAAAUCUUUGUGUGUAUAGCUCGUGAGUUGAAGGAGUUUAUUAAAGUGUUUUUGUCUGCUUCCUAGAGUACCUUUGUUGCUUUUAAUGAGCUAUCCUAGAGUACCUUUGUUGCUUUUAAUGAGCUUGCAGCGUUGUGUUUUGUGUAGCUGUCUUUGGGGUUUUGCUAGUCUAGAAUAUUCUCUAGCAUGAUAUAUAUUUGUAAGCUUUCUUGUAUUGAGGUGAAGUCGAACAUAAUGAAAAUGCAGAACAUCAUCUCUUUCACCAAAAUGUCUUUCUCUUUCUUUUACCCUAUGGUUUCUUUCAUGGUAUCAGAGCAGGACGUUUAGGGCCUGACUCUUUUGUUUUUCCUUUUCUUCUUGUCUUGUCUCUAUCAUGGCAGAUCUAGCCACCCCUAUUAUACCACAAAAUAACCAGAUCUCGGUCAAACUCAAUGAGAAUAAUUUUCUCAUUUGGAAACAACAAAUUAUGGCAAAUGUGAGAGGUUUAGGUCUUGAAAAAUAUUUUAUCAGAGAUCCACCCGCUGCAACUAAGGCUGGAGAAGAUGGAGAAAUGCUCCCAAAUUCUGAAUACAUUAGCUGGGUACGCCAAGACCAGCUCUUUUCGGCUUGGAUUCAGUCUUCAUUAACUGAAAGUACCAUGAUUCUUGUGGUUGGUCUUACCACCAGCAAGGAGAUCUGGGAAGCGCUCCUUCAAAACUACUCAAACCAAUCCAAAGCCAAAGUAAUGCAGUACAAGUUGCAGUUACAGACCUUGAAGAAGGAGGCGCUGAGUAUGAGGGAUUAUCUUAACAAGAUCAAAACCUGCUGCGAUCUUCUUGGCUCAGCAGGCUACAGAGUUUCUGAUGAUGACCAAAUCAUGCAUACUCUUGCUGGUUUAGGUCCCGAAUACGAUUCAGUAAUGGUUACUAUAACUUCUAAACCAGAGGUUUGGACUCUUGGAGAUGUAAGCUCACUGCUACUGAGUUUUGAAAGCAGGAUUGAAGCAGCCAAGGCUCAAGUCAUCAACACUGAAGGAUCUCAACCUUCAGCUAAUCUCGUCCAAAGUGCUCAUCAAGGUAACAAUCAAGGUGGCAGAGGCAAGUCUUUUCAAAAUAACACCAACUCUUCCAGAGGAGGCUUUUCAGGCGGUUUUGGUGGAAGAGACAGAAAUGGUGGUCGAGGUGGACGAAAUGGAGGUAGAUAUGGUAACAACAAACCCAUAUGCCAAGUUUGUGGUAUUACUGGACACACAGCUGACAGGUGUUGGCAUCGGUUUGAGCCAAACUUUGUUCCUGGUACAAGGAACAUUCUAUGAGACCUUCUUCUUCGGCUCAAGGAACUAUGCACCUAACUUCUCUCACAGCAACUUCUCUCAGCAGCCUGUCUGAACAUGGCUCAACUUCCUCCUGCUUCCACCACUUCAGAAUCUUGGUUUGACAAUAGCAGUCCUUCUACUUGGUAUCCUGAUUCUGGUGCCACCAAUCACGUCUCUCAUGACUACAAUGCCUUUCACAAUGUCUCUGACUACCAUGGAGGUAAGAAACUUCAAAUGGGAAAUGGUUCUCUUGCUGUAUUACUCAUGUUGGUGAUUCGGUUCUCUCUUCUCCCACUAACUCCACACAUUUCAUUCUUAAAUAUCUCUUACAUGUGCCUCAAAUUAAAAAGAAUCUUCUUAGUGUUUCAAAUUUGCCUUUGACAAUAAGUUUUUUUGAAUUCCAUCUUUUUUCUGUCUUGUUAAGGACCGGCAACCAAAGCAACUCUUCUCAAGGGCACCCUUAGGAAUGGCUUAUACCGUUUACUUUGCAUAGGUCUUCUCCAGUUUCCACUUCUUCAAUCAAGAGCACUGCUCAGCUGCGGAUCUCUUCACAACUCUCUUCCUUCUUUUUUACUUGUUCUAUGAGAUUCUCUAGAGGUUUGGCAUAGGAGAUUAGGACAUUGUGCCUUUGACAUUGUUAGAAAGGCACUUCAACAAUGUAAUAUCUCUUUUCAAUCAAUGCCAUUACUAAACUUUGUCAUUCUUGUUCUAUCUCUAAAAUUCAUAGGCUUCCUUACACUCACUCCAACACUGUGUACAAUGAACCUUUAGCACUUAUUCACAGUGAUCUUUGGGGACCAUCCCCUGUCCUUUCAUCCAGUGGCUUCCAGUAUUACGUUUCCUUUAUUGAUCAUUACAGCCGAUUUACUUGGUUUUACUUAUUAAAACACAAAUCCAUGUUAACAUCAUUUUUCAGAAGUUUAAAACCAUGGUUGAGACUCAAUUUUCUCACAAAAUCAAAGUCCUUCAAACUGAUUGGGGUGGGGAGUAUAGAGGGUUAACCAAUUUUCUUCAAAAUACUGGCAUUUUACAUCGCAUUUCCUGCCCUUACACUCAUCAACAAAACGGCCUAGCUGAGAGAAAAUAUCGGCAUAUUGUUGAAAUGGGCCUUUCUCUCUUAGCUCAAGCUAAUCUUCCCACCAAGUUUUGGGAUGAUGCGUUUGUCUCUUCAGUCUUCAUCAUUAACCGAACUCCCUCUAAACUUCUCUAAUUUUGCUCCCCUUAUGAAAAGCUUUUCCAUAGGAAACCUGACUACUCUAUUCUUAAGGUUUUUGGUUGCUUGUGUUACCCUUAUCUAAGACCUACCAAUACACACAAACUUCAAUAUAGGUCUUCCCCUGGUACUUUCUUAGGCUAUAGUAAUAAUCAUAAAGGGUAUAAAGUUCUUCUUAAAACUGGCAGAAUUCUAAUUAGUCGAGAUGUUCUUUUUUAUGAGUCCACUUUUCCUUUUCAAUCCAUCACUCCUUCUAUUCCUGACCAUACUCUUCCUACUCUAUCUACUCCACUGUAUCCUACUGUUCCACCUCCUCCCAUCAUACCUGAUAUUACACCACCUCCUUCUCCUGCACAUUCUCCUGCUCCUUCUUCUCCACUGCAUAACACCACAACUUCCUCUUCUUCCUCUAAUUUUGUCCACUCUCACUCUAAUUCUUCUCCUGAUCACCAACAUAGUAAUACUCCAGCUUCUGUUUCUCCACCACCUGCUCCUCCUGUCAUUACACAUCCUAUGAUGACCAGGUCUAAAGCAGGCAUCUUCAAGCCCAAGGUUUUUGCAGCAGAUUCUACAUAUGAUUAUUUAUAUGUUGAACCAAAAACUCAUCAAGAAGCAUUGCAAGUCUCUGUCUGGCAGAAAGCUAUGGGAUUGGAAAUUUAUGCCUUAAUCAAGAAAGGCACUUGGAUUUUCUGUCCUCUUCCUCCGGGUAAGCAUGCUAUAGGCUGUAAGUGGGUUUUCAAAAUCAAACGCAAGGCUGAUAGGUCCAUUUCUACCUACAAAGCUCGCCUUGUUGCUCAAGGAUUCUCACAAGAGCCUGGCUUUGAUUACACUGAAACUUUCAGUCCCGUUGUUAAACCUGCAACUAUUAGGCUCAUAUUAUCUUUGGCUGUCAAUUAUGGUUGGUCGAUUAAGCAUUUCGAUGUUGAUAAUGCCUUCUUGAACGGUGAUCUCUCUGAGGAAAUAUACAUGAAACCUCCCCCAGGCUUUGAACCUCCAUCUACUGGUUCAGCUCCUAUGGUUUGUAAGUUGAAGAAGGCCAUUUAUGGGUUGAAGCAAGCUAGCAGAUCCUGGUUUCUUACUAUUCGUUCUGUUCUUCUUAACCUUGGUUUUUCUCAGUCUCGGGCUGAUACUUCUUUAUUCUUCAAGCAUAAAGGCUCUUCUGUUGUCUACUUACUCAUUUAUGUGGAUGAUAUGCUGAUCACAGGUUCUUGCUCCUCUGAUAUUCAACAUGUUGUUAGUCAGCUCAAUACUCACUUCUCUUUGAAAGAUUUGGGUGAAGUCCACCACUUCCUUGGUAAUUGAGAUUACUAAAACUCUCACUGGCCUUCAUCUUAGUCAAGGAGGAUAUAUUACUGAUCUUACUCCAAAAAGUUCAUAUGUCUGAAGCCAAAGGUUGUCCUACACCAAUGGUAUCCUCCUGUCAACUUUCCAAGGGGGAUGGAAUAAGUAACAUUGAUGGAAAGCUUUACAGGAGUACAGUGGGAGCUUUGCAGUAUGCCACUAUCACCAGACCUGAAAUAGCUUAUAGUGUCAACAAAGUCAGUCAAUACAUGGCUGCACCACUUGACACUCACUGGAAGGCUGUUAAACGGAUUCUGAGGUAUUUAGCUGGCUCUAAAGAUCAUGGGCUACUGUUAAAGAAAUCUUCAUGUUCAAUUACUGGGUUUUGUGACUCGGAUUGGGCAGCGGAUAUUGAUGAUAGGAGAUCCGUUACUGGUUACUGCAUAUAUUUGGGAGAAAGCCUGAUUUCAUGGAGUUCAAAGAAACAAUCUGUUGUGUCGAGAUCAAGCACAGAGGCAGAGUAUAGAAGCUUAGCACAACUGGUGGCAGAAAUUUCUUGGAUAACUUCUCUUCUUGGUGAGCUCUCCAUCAAGGUAAAGCCUCCGGUAAUAUGGGUCGACAAUAUGAGCACCAUCUCUCUUGCUUCUAACCCCGUCAUGCAUGCGAGAACUAAACACAUUGAGCUUGAUAUACACUUUGUGAGAGAUAAGGUAGCAGCAGGAAUAAUAGAUUUGAGACAUGUUCCUUCGCGUGAUCAACGCGCUGAUAUUUUGACUAAACCUUUGAGUUUACAAUUCUUCUCUCGCCUCAAACAUUCACUAGGUGUUCACUCUUUGGGCGCGAUCGAAUUGAAGGAGGGUGUUAGACAAGAUGAGCAGAUGGCCAUGCAUAAAUCUUUGUGUGUAUAGCUCGUGAGUUGGAGGAGUUUAUUAAAGUGUUUUUGUCUACUUCCUAGAGUACCUUUGUUGCUUUUAAUGAGCUAUCCUAGAGUACCUUUGUUGCUUUUAAUGAGCUUGCAGCGUUGUGUUUUGUGUAGCUGUCUUUGGGGUUUUGCUAGUCUAGAAUAUUCUCUAGCAUGAUAUAU
This 4901-nucleotide long non-coding RNA is filed under the name Salvia miltiorrhiza (redroot sage). RNAcentral's name for it is "long non-coding RNA (SMIL_LNC008425)". The stretch from base 865 to 1000 matches the Rfam family "Small nucleolar RNA Z247". Lineage: Eukaryota; Viridiplantae; Streptophyta; Magnoliopsida; Lamiales; Lamiaceae. The record is from RNAcentral.